Molecule: ribosomal RNA, 1129 nt
Filed under: uncultured organism
Description: bacterial SSU rRNA
Rfam family: Bacterial small subunit ribosomal RNA
Source: RNAcentral
GCGUCCUAUCAUGUAGUUGGUGAGGUAAUAGCCUACCAAGCCAAUGACGGGUAGCCGGUGUGAGAGCACGACCGGCCACAAGGUCACUGAAACACGGGGCCUACACCUACGGGUGGCGAGCAACCGGGAAUAUUGCGCAAUGGGCGAAAGCCUGACGCAGCGACACCGCGUGUGGGAAGAAGCUUUUCGGAGUGUAAACCACUGUGGCAAGGGAAGAAUUUUUGACGGUACCUUGCUAGAAAGCACCUGCUAACUACGUGCCAGAAGCCUCGGUAAUACGUAGGGUGCAAGCGUUAUCCGGAUUUAUUGGGCGUAAAGAGUUCCGCAGGCGUCUUUACAAGUUUCUUGUUUAAGCCUGAGGCUCAACUUCAGAAAAGCAAGAAAAACUGUAAAGAUUGAGUUUGUCUGGGGAAGCUGGAAUUCUCGGUGGAGGGGUGAAAUCCGUAGAUAUCGAGAGGAACACCAAAAUCGCGAAGGCAAGCUUCUAAAAACAAUACUGACGCUAAGGGACGAAAGCUUGGGUAGCAAAAGGGAUUAGAGACCCCUGUAGUCCAAGCCGUAAACUUUCCUCGCUAGUUGCCUGGUUAAUAAUGCAUAGUAGCUAUAAAUAAUACUAUUCAUAUAUACUGGUUGACGUAAGCUAACGCGUUAAACGGGGCGCCUGGGGAGUACAACCGCAAGGUUAAAACUCAAAGGAAUUGACGGGGGAGCGCACAACCGGUGGAGCAUGUGGUUUAAUUCGAUACAAAGCGAAAAACCUUACCUGGGUUUGACAUAUACCUGCACGUUCUAUGAAAAUAGAAUUUCUUCGAGAGUGGUAUACAGGUGAUGCAUGGCUGUCGUCAGCUCGUGUCGUGAGACGUCCGCUUAAGUGCGGUAACGAGCGCAACCCUUGUCGUCAGUUAUACGUAUCUGACGAGACUGCCCUGCUGCUAGCAGGGAGGAAGGAGAGGACGACGUCAAGUCAGCAUGUCCCUUACAUCCAGGGCUACACACAUCCUACAAUGGGACUGACAACGGGUAGCGACAGGGCAACCUUGAGCUAAUCCUUAUAAACUGUCCCUCGGUUCAGAUUGCGGGCUGCAAUUCGCCCGCAUGAAGUCGGAAUCGGUAGUAAUCGCAAAUCAGC